GCCAGCAGCCGCGGUAAUUCCAGCUCCAAUAGCGUAUAUUAAAGUUGUUGCAGUUAAAAAGCUCGUAGUUGAACCUUGGGCCUGGCUGGCCGGUCUGCCUCACCGCAUGUACUGGUUCGGCCGGGUCUUUCCUCCUGGGGAUCCGCAUGCCCUUCACUGGGUGUGUUGGGGAACCAGGACUUUUACUUUGAAAAAAUUAGAGUGUUCAAAGCAGGCCUUUGCUCGAAUACAUUAGCAUGGAAUAAUAGAAUAGGACGUGCGGUCCUAUUUUGUUGGUUUCUAGGACCGCCGUAAUGAUUAAUAGGGAUAGUCGGGGGCAUCAGUAUUCAGUUGUCAGAGGUGAAAUUCUUGGAUUUACUGAAGACUAACUACUGCGAAAGCAUUUGCCAAGGAUGUUUUCAUUAAUCAGUGAACGAAAGUUAGGGGAUCGAAGACGAUCAGAUACCGUCGUAGUCUUAACCGUAAACUAUGCCGACUAGGGAUCGGGCGAUGUUAUUCUUUUGACUCGCUCGGCACCUUACGAGAAAUCAAA
This 532-nucleotide ribosomal RNA is filed under the name Lasiodiplodia theobromae. RNAcentral's name for it is "SSU rRNA". It matches the Rfam family "Eukaryotic small subunit ribosomal RNA", at positions 566 to 1102 of the family's 1831-position model. Lineage: Eukaryota; Fungi; Ascomycota; Dothideomycetes; Botryosphaeriales; Botryosphaeriaceae. The record is from RNAcentral.